UUGGAGGGCAAGUCUGGUGCCAGCAGCCGCGGUAAUUCCAGCUCCAAUAGCGUAUAUUAAAGUUGUUGCAGUUAAAAAGCUCGUAGUUGAAUUUCGAGACCGGUUUACUGGUCGUGCUUUUGCACGUACUGGUAUUAUUGGUUUCUCCUUUCUGACGAAUCUUAAUGCCAUUAAUUUGGUGUUUUGGGGAAUCAGGACUGUUACUUUGAAAAAAUUAGAGUGUUUAAAGCAGGCUCACGCUUGAAUACAUUAGCAUGGAAUAACGAAAUAGGACGUUUGAUUUUAUUUGUUGGUUUCUAGGAUCGACGUAAUGAUUAAUAGGGAUAGUUGGGGGCAUUAGUAUUCAAUUGUCAGAGGUGAAAUUCUUGGAUUUAUUGAAGACUAACUACUGCGAAAGCAUUUGCCAAGGAUGUUUUCAUUAAUCAGGAACGAAAGUUAGGGGAUCGAAGACGAUCAGAUACCGUCGUAGUCUUAACCAUAAACUAUGCCGACUAGGGAUCGGAUGAUGUUAAUUUUUAAU
Molecule: ribosomal RNA, 520 nt
Filed under: uncultured Glomeromycotina
Lineage: Eukaryota; Fungi; Glomeromycota
Description: SSU rRNA
Rfam family: Eukaryotic small subunit ribosomal RNA
Source: RNAcentral